Molecule: ribosomal RNA, 634 nt
Filed under: uncultured bacterium
Lineage: Bacteria
Description: bacterial SSU rRNA
Rfam family: Bacterial small subunit ribosomal RNA
Source: RNAcentral
AGUUUGAUCCUGGCUCAGAUUGAACGCUGGCGGCAUGCCUUACACAUGCAAGUCGAACGGCAGCACGGAGCUUGCUCUGGUGGCGAGUGGCGAACGGGUGAGUAAUAUAUCGGAACGUACCCUAGAGUGGGGGAUAACGUAGCGAAAGUUACGCUAAUACCGCAUACGAUCUAAGGAUGAAAGUGGGGGAUCGCAAGACCUCAUGCUCGUGGAGCGGCCGAUAUCUGAUUAGCUAGUUGGUAGGGUAAAAGCCUACCAAGGCAUCGAUCAGUAGCUGGUCUGAGAGGACGACCAGCCACACUGGAACUGAGACACGGUCCAGACUCCUACGGGAGGCAGCAGUGGGGAAUUUUGGACAAUGGGCGAAAGCCUGAUCCAGCAAUGCCGCGUGAGUGAAGAAGGCCUUCGGGUUGUAAAGCUCUUUUGUCAGGGAAGAAACGGUGAGAGCUAAUAUCUCUUGCUAAUGACGGUACCUGAAGAAUAAGCACCGGCUAACUACGUGCCAGCAGCCGCGGUAAUACGUAGGGUGCAAGCGUUAAUCGGAAUUACUGGGCGUAAAGCGUGCGCAGGCGGUUUUGUAAGUCUGAUGUGAAAUCCCCGGGCUCAACCUGGGAAUUGCAUUGGAGACUGCAAG